RNAcentral lists this long non-coding RNA (790 nucleotides) under Pan troglodytes (chimpanzee). RNAcentral's name for it is "long non-coding RNA NONPTRT018349". Lineage: Eukaryota; Metazoa; Chordata; Mammalia; Primates; Hominidae. The record is from RNAcentral.
UAAAGACCAUUUUUCUUCCUAAUAACCUUGCUGUUAUUCUAGUGUCUUAGCCAUCUUCAUUUGGUUGUUUACCAAUAUAUGACAUGUGAUUUUAUUUUUCAGAUGGAUACAGACAUAUACAAGAUUGUGGUGACCUGUGUUACAGUUAGAAGUUGGUGAGAAAGACUGCAAAGUGGAGUGGGAGAAUCUUGAAAUUGAACUCAGUCCUGAGGUCUGAUUUUCCUAUUAUUAGUCACUUUCAAGCCAGGUGAUUUGUGACCAUUUAAAUGUUAUGCUAUUUCAAAGUCUUCUACAUCUUUAGAAAAGGACAUGAGGGAGGGUUAGUUAAGUGGGGCAAUGAGAAUGUAGAGUGUAAUGUGCAAAAGCAGGACUAGCAGUUGCUUUGAAGAUAUCUGGGGAAGGCCGGGCAUGGUGGUUCACGCCUGUAAUCCCAGUACUUUGGGAGGCCAAGGUGGGCGGAUCACCAGGUCAGGAGAUCGAGAUCAUCCUGGCUAACGUGAAACCCCGUCUAUACUAAAAAUACAAAAAAUUAGCCGGACGCAGUGGUGGGCGCCUGUAGUCCCAGCUACUCGGGAGGCUGAGGCAGGAGAGUGGCAUGAACCCGGGAGGCGGAGCUUGCAGUGAGCUGAGAUCGCACCACUGCAUUCCAGCCUGGACAACAGAGUGAAACUCCGUCUCAAAAACCAACCAAACAAAAAACAAAAAUUAGCUGGGCAUGGUGGCGCGCGCCUGUAAUCCCAGCACUUUGGGAGGCCAAGGUGGGUGGAUCAUGAGGUCAGAAGAUUGAGAC